CUACGGGCGGCAGCAGUGAGGAAUAUUGCACAAUGGGGGGAAACAUGAGGCAGCAACGCCGCGUGGAGGAGGACGCAUUUCGGUGUGUAAACUCCUUUUCUCUGGCAAGAAAAUGACGGUAGCAUAUGAAUAAGCACCGGCUAACUCCGUGCCAGCAGCCGCGGUAAUACGGAGGGUGCAAGCGUUACUCGGAAUCACUGGGCGUAAAGGACGCGUAGGCGGGUUGGAAAGUCAGGUGUGAAAUCCUACAGCUUAACUGUAGAACUGCACUUGAAACUUCUAAUCUAGAGUAUGGGAGGGGGAGAUGGAAUUAGUGGUGUAGGGGUAAAAUCCGUAGAUAUCACUAGGAAUACCUAAAGCGAAGGCGAUCUCCUGGAACAUUACUGACGCUAAGGCGUGAAAGCGUGGGGAGCAAACAGGAUUAGAUACCCCGGUAGUC
This 439-nucleotide ribosomal RNA is filed under the name uncultured bacterium. RNAcentral describes it as "partial 16S ribosomal RNA". It matches the Rfam family "Bacterial small subunit ribosomal RNA", at positions 339 to 795 of the family's 1533-position model. The record is from RNAcentral.